CAUUGCUGUUUUUAUUUUUUAAAAUCUGAAAAUGACAAAACUGAUAUUGAAUCCCCUACCAAUCACACCCUAAAUUUCUCCAUGCCUCCGAUCUCCAGCCUCUCACUGCACCUCUCGCACGAUCGACUAUCGCCUUUAGCCUUUCCGAAUAAAUGGCCUUUGAAUCGAGCUCAUCCUCGUCUCCUCUGGUGGGUCAAUGGAAGUUGAGCGCCACCUCUGCUUGCUCGGGACGCCGCCUCCUUCGGUCCCAUCGCCCCCGCUGGCCGGGGUGAAGAAGUUGAGCACGGACUAUGCUGGGGAACAACAAGGGAGGGUUUUCGUUCACUGUUGCCAAGGGGUCUCCCGGUCCACAUCUUUGGUAAUUGCUUAUCUUAUUGGGAGAGAAGGCCAGAGUUUUGAUGAUGCUUUUCAGUAUGUGAAAGCAGCGAGAGGAGAGAAGGCUAGAGUUUUUCUUGUCUGAGAUUUUUUGUCACAGACUUCAAAGAAACUAUUUUGCAACAGUUUGCAAGAGGUAUGCUUCUAACUUUUAUUUUAAUACUAUGCAAAUGUUAGAGGAGUUUGAAUAUCUUAAAUAUUCAUCCAUAGUGAAGUAGAUUCUGAGAUUGUUAUUGUGUGCUGCGGUGAUAACGGAAGGUUGAGAACUUGUGUGUUUUAGUGAAGUAGGAUCUGAGAAAUUUGUGUGCUGCGGAGAUAAGAAAGAAAACUUGUGUGUUGUUUGAAUUGAUGUAGACUUGUCUAUGAUCAUCCUAUAAUUGAAUUGUGUUUGUUUGAUUGGUUUGAUUAUAACAUAUACUUGUAUGAAUGUACAUAUUACGUGUUGGCAUACACAUAUAGCAUAACCUUUUGUAUUUCUUGUUUUGUAUAUGUUAGUUUUCUUCUUGUCCCUUGUCUAAUGUUCUUUAGUGAGGUGAUUUAUAACAUUGAGCAUCACUUUUGAUUCUUGUGAUCACAUGUAGGUUCAAUAGUAUGAAGUGCUAUACAAAAGUUUGAUGUUAUUAGUAUAUUGGUUGAUAAUUUAUGAUUUCUUUUUUUGCACCAGAACUACUAUUUCAAUUUGUGUUUAUUUUAAUUGAAGCAUAGCUUUAUGUUUCAUUGUAGUCUAAUAGUUUGAUCAUUUUCUUACUUAAAUAAUAUCCGAGUUAUUUUUUUUCUUCCAAACUGUAAUUGUUUUCACCAUGUUCGAUGGCCUUAGCUGAAACAAUGUAUUUCUUAAACAAUUGAAAGGCCUUAGCUGAAACAAUGUAUUUCUUAAACAAUUGAAAGUUUUCUAAAAAGAUCAAUUGGUGAGUUUUGGGUUCAAUCAAUUGAGACAUAGGAUAUAUAUUUAUAUAUUUACUCGAUGAUUUCCUUUUCUGCACUAGAACUACUAUCUCAAUUUGUGUUUAUUUUAAUUGAAGCAUAGCUUUAUGUUUCUUUGUAUUAUAAUAGUUUGAUCAUUUUCUUAUUUAAAUAAUAUCUAAGUUAUUUGUUUUCAUCCAAAUUGUGAUUGGUUUUACCAUGUUCGAUGGCUUUAGCUGAAACAAUGUAUUCUUUAAAUAAUUGAAAGUUUUCUAAAAAAAUCAAUUGGUGAGUUUUGGGUUCAAUCAAUUGAGACAUAGGAUAUAUAUUUAUAUAUUUACUCGAUGAUUUUCUUUUCUGCACCAGAACUACUAUCUCAAUUUGUGUUUAUUUUAAUUGAAGCAUAGCUUUGUGUUUCAUUGUAGUCUAAUAGUUUGAUCAUUUUCUUACUUAAAUAAUAUCUAUUUUUUUCUUCCAAACUGUGAUUGUUUUUACCAUGUUCGAUGGCCUUAGUUGAAAUAAUGUAUUCUUUAAACAAUUGAAAAUUUUCUAAAAUGGAUUGAUUAUCACUUUGUUAAAAAUGUUGCGCUUGUAUAAAAUUCAUAAUUAUAUGGCUAUUUAUUAAAAGAAAUAUAUAUGCUUGACCAAAAGAAAUUAUGAUUGAUGUAUAUUAAUGUCUUUAUAUGUGUAUAUAUGUAUAUUAAUUUCUCGAUGUUUAUUGUAUAUUUGCUAAUGUGCUAUGAAUGAUUGGUAAUUUGGUUUAUUAAUGUCUGUGAUUUCAUAAACAAACUAGCUUGAGCAUUUUUAAAUUGAAACUGACAGGUAUGCAUUUCCAUUGGUCAUUAUUAUAGAGUUAGUAAUUCUACAGCUCAUUCCUUAGCAAAACUUGCAUUAUCUCUUGAUUCCCCUAGAGUUUGGUGGCUUGGUUUGCCUUCAUGUCUGUGGCCUUAAAACUCUUUAUGUUUGAUGUUUUUGCUUCAUCUUGGCUGUUUGCCCAAUAAAAUUCUAUGAAUUUCACUCAAAAAAACAAAAAAAAAAAAGAAUUAAGACUAACUACUUAAGCCAUGAGGCUAUCUAAUUUGAUAAGAAAAAUACAAUUUUUAUAUAAAUUAUUUUUGUGACUGAAAACCACAAUCAUCCUUUUUAUUUAUUCUGCAACCUCAAGUUCUCUAUUUAUUUUAGUUUUGGUUUAACUUUAAUGGUGUUUAUUAUGUAUUGUAGGCUAAAACUCUACUUGGAUAUUUAAGAGAACCAAGACAAUUAUAUAAGAGAACCAAGGCAACACGAAAUUCUUCUUCAAGUUGUUGGGUAUUAUUUUCUUUCUUGCUUGUAAGAAUUAUGUACAGUGAGGAUUUGAUGUAUUAUUUACAUCGAGAAUAAUGAGUUUUUUUUGAGAAUUAUAAUGAAUUUUCAUUGAGACUUAUUUAGUCUCAUGGGGAUUAGAUGUAUUAUUUACAUUUCAAUUGUAUGAAUAAAUGUUGUAUGUA
This is a long non-coding RNA of Humulus lupulus (European hop), 2765 nucleotides long. RefSeq lists it as uncharacterized. Lineage: Eukaryota; Viridiplantae; Streptophyta; Magnoliopsida; Rosales; Cannabaceae. The record is from RefSeq and is a predicted model, not a curated record. The transcript is spliced from 3 exons.